RNAcentral lists this ribosomal RNA (464 nucleotides) under uncultured bacterium. RNAcentral's name for it is "partial 16S ribosomal RNA". It matches the Rfam family "Bacterial small subunit ribosomal RNA", at positions 338 to 795 of the family's 1533-position model. The record is from RNAcentral.
CCUACGGGGGGCUGCAGUAGGGAAUCUUCGUCAAUGGGCGCAAGCCUGAACGAGCAAUGCCGCGUGAACGAGGAAGGUCUUCGGAUCGUAAAGUUCUGUUGAAGGGGAAAAAGAGCGGAGAGAGGAAAUGCUUUCUGAUUGAUAUUACCCUUCGAGGAAGUCACGGCUAACUACGUGCCAGCAGCCGCGGUAAUACGUAGGUGGCGAGCGUUAUCCGGAUUUAUUGGGUUUAAAGGGUGCGUAGGCGGACUGUUAAGUCAGCGGUAAAAGCCCGGGGCUCAACCCCGGCGAGCCGUUGAAACUGGCGUUCUUGAGUGGGCGAGAAGUAUGCGGAAUGCGUGGUGUAGCGGUGAAAUGCAUAGAUAUCACGCAGAACUCCGAUUGCGAAGGCAGCAUACCGGCGCCCAACUGACGCUGAAGCACGAAAGCGUGGGUAUCGAACAGGAUUAGAUACCCCAGUAGUC